GCGGAUGUAGCUCAGUUGGUAGAGCACAACCUUGCCAAGGUUGGGGUCGCGAGUUCGAGUCUCGUCAUCCGCU
This 73-nucleotide transfer RNA is filed under the name Bacillota bacterium. RNAcentral's name for it is "tRNA-Gly". It matches the Rfam family "tRNA". Rfam says of the family: Transfer RNA (tRNA) molecules are approximately 80 nucleotides in length. Their secondary structure includes four short double-helical elements and three loops (D, anti-codon, and T loops). RNAcentral also lists the same sequence under 3 other names. The record is from RNAcentral. Lineage: Bacteria; Bacillati; Bacillota.